CCUACGGGUGGCAGCAGUGAGGAAUAUUGGUCAAUGGACGAGAGUCUGAACCAGCCACGUCGCGUGAAGGAUGACUGCCCUAUGUGUUGUAAACUUCUUUUGUAAAGGAAUAAAACGCGGCACGUGUGCCUUUUUGCAUGUACUUUAUGACUAAGGAACGGCUAACUACGUGCAAGCAGCCGCCGUAAUACGGAGGAUCCGAGCGUUAUCCGGAUUUAUUGGGUUUAAAGGGAGCGUAGAUGGGUUGUUAAGUCAGUUGUGAAGGUUUGCGGCUCAACCGUCAAAUUGCAAUUGAUACUGGCAGUCUUGAGUACAGGUGAGGUAGGCGGAAUUCGUGGUGUAGCGGUGAAAUGCUUAGAUAUCACGAAGAACCCCGAUGGCGAAGGCAGCUUACUAAACUGUUACUGACAGUGAUGCUCGAAAGUGUGGGUAUCAAACAGGAUUAGAUACCCUUGUAGUC
RNAcentral lists this ribosomal RNA (460 nucleotides) under uncultured bacterium. RNAcentral describes it as "partial 16S ribosomal RNA". It matches the Rfam family "Bacterial small subunit ribosomal RNA", at positions 338 to 795 of the family's 1533-position model. The record is from RNAcentral.